GCACUUGUCAUGGUCACAUAUUUAUAAUAAAGUGUGAACGUUAUUGGUUUGAGGGUUAGAACCAGCAGCUUUGUUGUCAGUCAUGUCCUGGGUGAAGUAGCUAACGUUAACACUUAAGCGGGGCUCCGCCGGUGCUGAUGACGAGCUAAGCUAAGCUAACCAGCUAAUAAGUUAACCAGCUAUGCUAACCGGCUUGGGAGCCAGACUGGAAUGCUGCUAGCUAACGUUACUGUCUGUCUUGUACGAGUUUUCUUGUGGCUUGCUGUGUAAUGCAGUACAACGCUCACUGCGUGAUUUGUUAUUAUCAAAAGACACCGGCACGUCCUCUUAAACUAUGGUGUUGUUAAUAAGUUGUUGCUUACAAAAGUCUGUCAGGAAGAGGAGUUUACGCGGCCUGCCCUCCGCUGGCCGGCAGAGCCCGACAUAACCGAAGCAGCAGCAGCAGCCCACCGUGUGGGAAGCUGCCUCGGCCAGCGCCUCUAACAGACCAACAAUAGCUGGACAGCAGCACAAGUCUUUGGCUAAACUACAUCACGUCUGUUUUCCGAUGAAAAUGAUGAUUCACUUCCUCUCCAGUAUGUUGAGGGAGAAGUAUGCCUGUGUGGGACAAGGUUACAGUAAGCUGCCGUCACUAGCGGUUAUCACGGAGCCAACCGGCCUUUCUGUCAGCUUGUAAAGGUGCUGGCUA
Molecule: long non-coding RNA, 688 nt
Organism: Sander lucioperca (pikeperch)
Lineage: Eukaryota; Metazoa; Chordata; Actinopteri; Perciformes; Percidae
Exons: 2
Source: RefSeq, a predicted model, not a curated record